AUAGAUAGGCAUGCGUUCCAUUAGGCAGUUGGCGGGGUAACGGCCCACCAAACCGACGAUGGAUAGGGGUUCUGAGAGGAAGGUCCCCCACAUUGGUACUGAGACACGGACCAAACUCCUACGGGAGGCAGCAGUGAGGAAUAUUGGUCAAUGGGCGUAAGCCUGAACCAGCCAAGUCGCGUGAGGGAUGAAGGUUCUAUGGAUCGUAAACCUCUUUUAUAAGGGAAUAAAGUGCGGGACGUGUCCCGUUUUGUAUGUACCUUAUGAAUAAGGAUCGGCUAACUCCGUGCCAGCAGCCGCGGUAAUACGGAGGAUCCGAGCGUUAUCCGGAUUUAUUGGGUUUAAAGGGUGCGUAGGCGGCCUUUUAAGUCAGCGGUGAAAGUCUGUGGCUCAACCAUAGAAUUGCCGUUGAAACUGGGAGGCUUGAGUAUGUUUGAGGCAGGCGGAAUGCGUGGUGUAGCGGUGAAAUGCUUAGAUAUCACGCAGAACCCCGAUUGCGAAGGCAGCCUGCCAAGCCAUGACUGACGCUGAUGCACGAAAGCGUGGGGAUCAAACAGGAUUAGAUACCCUGGUAGUCCACGCAGUAAACGAUGAUCACUAGCUGUUUGCGAUACACAGUAA
This 621-nucleotide ribosomal RNA is filed under the name uncultured bacterium. RNAcentral describes it as "bacterial SSU rRNA". It matches the Rfam family "Bacterial small subunit ribosomal RNA", at positions 221 to 842 of the family's 1533-position model. The record is from RNAcentral.